RNAcentral lists this long non-coding RNA (977 nucleotides) under Bemisia tabaci. RNAcentral describes it as "lncRNA ENSSSA1UGG004952". The record is from RNAcentral. Lineage: Eukaryota; Metazoa; Arthropoda; Insecta; Hemiptera; Aleyrodidae.
AGAUACUCAUGAAGAGGAGGCGCAGCAACCGUCUACAAGAGCAAAAUCCAGUGAAAGAAUUCGCAGAAAAAGUCACAGAACCCCUAACAAGUGAUCCACUCGAUCGUAUAUCAUAUGCUCCCGAUAUUUAUAAUCCCGGAACUUCAAAAAGAGCAAAUAAGAAUAUACUAUUGGUUACCUCAGGAGUCGAAACUUCUGACACUAAUGAAGAAGCGAUAUCCUCUUGCCCUCCGAACAAACCUAAAGAAUCUAAAUCAAAAUCAAAACUAGAAUACACAGGAGAGGCCACAGAACCCCCAGCUACUGAUUCACUUCCUCUUACAUCAUAUGCUCCUGAUAUCGCUAAUCCCGGAACUACAAAAAUAGCAAAUAAGAAGGUAUUACUGGAUGACUCAAAAGUAAAAACUUCAGACACGGAUGAAAAGUUGAUAUCCUCUUGCUCUCCGAAAAAACCGAAAAAAUCUAAAUCUAAAAGAAACCUAGAAUGCACAGGAGAAGUCGCAGAACCCUCAAUUACUGAUCUACUUUCCCUUACAUCAAAUUCUUCCGAAAUCUAUAAUCCUGGAACUUCAAAAAGAGCAAACAAGAAUUUACUAAUGGUGGACUCAAAAAGCGAAACUUUUGAUGCUAAUGAAGAAUCGAAACCUUCUUGCCCUCGAAAAAAACCGAAAAAAUCUAAAUCAAAACGAGAAUAUACAGGAGAAGCCACAGAAUCCCCAACAAUUGAUCCAAUCCAUUGUACAUCAAAGGCUCCCGAUAUCUAUAUUUCCGGAAUUACAAAAAGAGCAAAUAAGAAGAUACUACAGGAUGAUUCAGAUGUAAAAACUUCAGACACGUAUGAAAAAUUGACAAAAAGAGCAAAUAAGAAGAUACUACUGGAUGACUCAGAAGUAAAAACUUCAGACACGUAUGAAAGAUUGAUAUCUUCUUGCUCCCUGAAAAAACCGAAAAAAUCUAAAUCAAAAAGAUACCGGUAA